AAUGACUCUCGGUAAUGGAUAUCUUGGCUCUUGCAUCGAUGAAGAAUGUAGAAAAAUGUGAUACUUGGUGUGAAUUAUAGAAUCCCGUGAACCAUCAAGUCUUUAAAUGUAAGUUAUGCCCUAAGCUGUUAGGCGUAGGGCACGUCUGCCUGGGUGUCACGUGU
This 164-nucleotide ribosomal RNA is filed under the name Tremandra diffusa. RNAcentral's name for it is "5.8S ribosomal RNA". It matches the Rfam family "5.8S ribosomal RNA". Rfam says of the family: 5.8S ribosomal RNA (5.8S rRNA) is a component of the large subunit of the eukaryotic ribosome. It is transcribed by RNA polymerase I as part of the 45S precursor that also contains 18S and 28S rRNA. Lineage: Eukaryota; Viridiplantae; Streptophyta; Magnoliopsida; Oxalidales; Elaeocarpaceae. The record is from RNAcentral.